RNAcentral lists this unclassified non-coding RNA (195 nucleotides) under fungal sp. Its description in RNAcentral is "partial internal transcribed spacer region". The stretch from base 1 to 46 matches the Rfam family "Eukaryotic small subunit ribosomal RNA", at positions 1786 to 1831 of the family's 1831-position model. The record is from RNAcentral. Lineage: Eukaryota; Fungi.
AAGUCGUAACAAGGUAACCGUAGGUGAACCUGCGGUUGGAUCAUUACAAAUCCUGACUCGCAAGAGUCUUAACCACCUGUGCAUUAUUAUUGGCAAGGUGUCUGGUCAAACAGAUGCCGAACCUAUUUACUACUAUUAUGUCUGAUAUUAUUUUAUAAUAAUAAACAACUUUUGACAACGGAUCUCUUGGCUCUC